This 884-nucleotide long non-coding RNA is filed under the name Olea europaea subsp. europaea. The record is from RNAcentral. Lineage: Eukaryota; Viridiplantae; Streptophyta; Magnoliopsida; Lamiales; Oleaceae.
CUCCAAGAGAAAUUUGGGUGCUUUUUCCAACUCAAAUUAUAUGUUUUCCCAAAUGUUUUGUUUUUUGCUGUCGCUGUCCCCAUUGAGCAAAAUCUGUCUGCUCUACUCAUUGUACAAAGAUUGGACAUUCUGAUAUUACAUGUUCUGCUCCACAGUCCUCACAACUGGCCUUCUUCGACUGUGCGACAUUAGCUGAUUUUGACAUGUUUUUCACCUUGUGAAAUAAUGAAUCAAUUUUGGCAGACACAGCAGAAUAAACGUCUACUUCAUAAACUCCUGGUGUCCUCUUCUGAACUGCUUGUUCCGAUAUUGAUAUAGCUGAAGUAGUGGCCAUAGUCUCAAAAAGUUUCAGGGCUUCAUCAAUUGUCUUUGUGGAUAGUGAUCCAUUUGAUGACGAGUCGACCAUGCUCUUGAAGCCUGGAAGCAAUCCCACAUAAAAGUAUUGGACCUUGAGUCCCUUGCUAAUCCCAUGAUGUGGACACUUCCGCAGCAUAUUCUUAAACUUAUUCCAGGCUUUAUCAAAGUUCUCGGAGUUGCCUUGACGAAAGACAGAUAUGUCAUACUUGAGCUUUGCAAUCUUGGCGAACGGGAAGAACUUGGUGCAGAAUUUUUGAGUUAGAUCAUUCCAUGUAGUGAUGCUUGCAAUUGGUUGCUAAUCUAGUCAUUUGAUUGCCUUGUGGCGCAGUGUAUGUGGGAACAACCUUAAUCUGAUUGCAUCGUCUGAGAUUCCUUGAUAUCUAAAGUGAUGGCACAUCUCUAAGAAGCGAGAGACGUGAGUAUGUGGAUUCUCUUUAGUUCUUCCAUACAAUUGAUGCCCAUUUUGAAAUAGUUGUAUCAGGUUGGUCUUCAAUUGGAAGUUAGGCUGUCCAAACGGUGGAUACACG